CUCUUACAAACACAUCCGCCAGGGUACUACAAGCGCUAGCUUAAAACCCAAAGGACUUGACGGUGUCUCAGACCCGCCUAGAGGAGCCUGUUCUAGAACCGAUAAUCCCCGUUAAACCUCACCAUCCCUUGUUUCUCCCGCCUAUAUACCGCCGUCGCAAGCUUACCCUGUGAAGGGUCUACAGUAAGCAAAAUGGGCCAGCCCCAGAACGUCAGGUCGAGGUGUAGCUCACGAGAUGGAAAGAAAUGGGCUACAUUUUCUACAACAGAAUAUCACGAACAGUACCAUGAAACUAGUACCUGAAGGUGGAUUUAGCAGUAAAAAAA
This 326-nucleotide ribosomal RNA is filed under the name Metynnis sp. 81. RNAcentral describes it as "partial small subunit ribosomal RNA". It matches the Rfam family "Bacterial small subunit ribosomal RNA", at positions 854 to 1346 of the family's 1533-position model. Lineage: Eukaryota; Metazoa; Chordata; Actinopteri; Characiformes; Serrasalmidae. The record is from RNAcentral.